AGCAUCUUACUAACUGGGAGUUGAGGACCAACCUCUGACCCUUUGUCUUAAAGGUUUGAGAAUAGAUAAUUUGGAAGAAUACCAGCUUGUUUCCAGAUGGCUGAAUGCCUGAUGCUCCUUUAUGUUGAGCUGUCAUUCAAAUAUGAAUGCUAUGGUGAUUGAUCCCGAUUACUGGGUGAAGAUUCAUCACCUGGAAUACACAGAUGGGGGAAUUUUGGACCCAGAUGAUGUCUUAGCAGAUGUUGCUGAAGACAAAGAUAAGAUGGUGUUCUAGUAGUUACUCUCUUUUUGUGAAAUUGAACAGUAGCUGGGAGAGCUUGUGUGGAUUUGUUAUUUUUGUUUGGCCUAAUUCUGCUUUUGAAGCAUGAUCACCUAUUACAUUUCUGUAAGGCUAUUUAUUGAAAUGAAAGUAUGCGUAUAGAAUCUGUGGUUUUUGAGGUUCAAAUUGACGAUAAAAUCAAAGUUAAAAAAAUGCAUUGGCAUAGCACUAUCUGUUUUAACUUCAUCGAUUUGAAAGUAGCAAAAUAGGAAUACUAUGGAGAUUAAAAAAAAAAAGACGACAGGCUUUCUUUGCCUUGCGGUUGAAGAAAUGGUCAGUGGUAUUGUGAAACAAAAUGCGAAAUAGCUUUGAGCUUAAUAGAUAAAGAUGUGUGAUUUUUAGCUCUGAGAACUACGUUAGAAUGUGUCUUUUUUUAGGAUUGUUCUAAUAUUUAUUUUUGCUAUACAUAUCAAUAAAAUCAGCAAGGUCAUUACUCCCAAUAUGCACAAUAAGUUAUUGCCUGAGAAUUUCACAACGUUUUAGGUAGUAUUUAAUAUAUACAGAAACUUGGACAGAGGGAGAAAGAAAUAGUUUCUCUGAUUAAACUAAGAAUAUACAUUCCAAAGAAAACCAAGAGUAAAACACCAGGAACAAGUAGCCAAAAAUUAAUUUAAUUUGAGAGCUUUGAAGACCACAAAAAUGCUUUGGCGAGAGAAAGAAACUAUCCUUUGGUGGAAUUGACUGCAAACCAGAACCUUUGGAAGCUGUGUAGGAGAAAGAGGGAUGAAGACGGCUGCUGAAGGAUAUAAAUUCAUCGAAGAAAAACCUGUAAUGAUAGUUCACUGAGAGUUUAUUGGAGACCCCAUUACCUAACUAGGAACCAUUCGUCAUCAUCAUCAUCAUCAUCAUCAUCAUCAUCAUCAUCAGUCAAUAAGUGGCAUUUAUUAAAUGUUUCCUGUGAACACAGCACUGUAUUAGACACUUGGGAAGAUACAAUAGAAUUAGCAGGUGAUAGUCACGCCUUCAAGGAACUGAUUAUCUAGGGGUCAAAUGAAUGAAUGAAUGAGUUGUAUUUAUUGACCACUUACCAUGGCAGAGCACUGUAUUAAGUGCUUGGGAGAACAAUACAUUAGAUUUGGUUAACACCAUUCCUGCCCUCAAGGAGCUUUAACUCAGGGAGAGGAACUUACACAACGAUUUGAAAAUGUCUUAAGGUUUGCGGUUCAUUUUGAAUUCAUUCAUUCACUCAGUCGUAUUUAUUGAGUGCUUACCAUGUGCAGAGCCCUGUACUAUUCAUUCAUUCAAUAGUAUUUAUUGAGCGCUUACUAUGUGCAGAGCACUGUACUAAGCGCUUGGGAUGAACAAGUCGGCAACAGAUAGAGACAGUCCCUGCCGUUUGACGGGCUUACAGUCUAAUCGGGGGAGACGGACAGACGAGAACAAUGGCACUAAACAGCGUCAAGGGGAAGAACAUCUCGUAAAAACAAUGGCAACUAAAUAGAAUCGAGGCGAUGUACAAUUCAUUAACAAAAUAAAUAGGGUAACGAAAAUAUAUACAGUUGAGCGGACGAGUACAGUGCUGUGGGGAU
RNAcentral lists this long non-coding RNA (1848 nucleotides) under Ornithorhynchus anatinus (platypus). RNAcentral's name for it is "lncRNA (ENSOANG00000051003.1)". Lineage: Eukaryota; Metazoa; Chordata; Mammalia; Monotremata; Ornithorhynchidae. The record is from RNAcentral.